Molecule: unclassified non-coding RNA, 2546 nt
Filed under: Limulus polyphemus (Atlantic horseshoe crab)
Lineage: Eukaryota; Metazoa; Arthropoda; Merostomata; Xiphosura; Limulidae
Description: cubilin-like, transcript variant X2
Source: RNAcentral
CACGAAGGGAAAUGGCGGAUACAGUCGAAGGAUGGAAAAGUAGUAUUUAAGUUUGCUUCAGUGGUAGAGCGCCACUAAAGCUGGACUUAUCAGAGAGCAUGAGCUGUUGUUAAGGGACAGAAAGAGAACAUAACCUUGCUUGAGUUUUAUUCUCCUCCCGUAUCACGAUAAUAGUGUGUGAGCACAGACUGCAGUACUGAAGACCCGUAUGUAUUGAGAGAGAAGCCGUGGAGCGGUGAAGAAAUACUCAGUGCAUAAUAGAAAAUCACUACGUUCAACAUAGGAGAAGUAGUUAGACUAGAAAGGUAUCCAAAACUGAAGAUGACUAACAACUACCGACAUAAAAACAUCUCCUGGUGCUAUAUGUGUGAACUAAUUUACGUGUUUUUUCUGGUUGCCUAUAUUUUAACAGUCGUGUCUGAAUCUGCAGCGGUCAGUGUAGUCACUUCUUUUCCACCUACACGUGCUCCAAAAUGCGAUCGCUUGUUCGUCAGUAACAGUGUAGACACAAAGAAUGGAACUUUCGAAUCGCCAGUCGUAUCAAAUCUCAUGAACCACUCUCGUCAGUGUAUCUACGUUUUCAUAGCGGCUGAGGACGAAAGGGUUAAAAUAACAUUUAACAAGUUUAACCUUCGAGGAGCGCCACCCGAAUGCAAUCACGAAUUUAUUGAUUUAUACACGGAGAUCGACGAUCCUGUAAAGGAACUUAUUGAAACCCCCUUUGGAGGGCGUUACUGUGGCAAGACGUUACCACGUACCCGUAUCUCUAUGUACCAAACACUUACCAUCAGUUUCUAUAGUGAUGCCAGUACGGUAACACCAAAUGCUUUCCAAGGAACGUACGAGUUUGUUAAUGCUUCCAAGUAUUCAAUCGGAACACCAGCACCCAGCUCUAUAUGUACUUUUACAGUAUAUCACGACAGAAAAAAAGAAGGACUUUUUGUUUCUCCAACUUACCCUGGGGUAUAUCCUAAAAACCUCCACUGCCAAUAUCGCUUUCUUGGCAGAGCAGGUCAAAGAGUUCGACUUGAAUUUAUGGACUUUGACUUGUUCUACGGAGGCCCUCACUGCCCCUUCGACCACGUGAAGGUAUUUGAUGGCAAAACGAAAAAUGAUCCACUGAUUGGGACUUACUGCGGGCAGAGGCGUAAUCUCAUGGUAUAUUCGUCCGCCGAGAAUCUGUAUGUGGAGUUUAAUACGUUGAGAAGAACAGCCGAUACUCAGAACCGCGGGUUUUCUGGAUUCUUUGAAUUUAGCGAAGGUUUUGUGAAUCUAGCUUUCAUAGGAAAGUAUGAUGCUCAACACAUUAGAGGGACAGAAUGUGAUCAGAAAAUACUAAGUAAGCAGGAAUCUAACGGAACAGUCUUCUCUCCUAACUGGCCAUUUCUCUACUACGCUAACAUUGUUUGUCGUUACUAUAUCUAUGGCAUGAAGGACGCCCAGUACUUGGAGAAAGUCAGGCUGGAGUUUGACAAGUUUGAAAUCCCUAGCAAGGACGAGGAGUGUAACGAGGCCUAUCUUAAGCUCUACCUGCAGGGUCAGGAGGAAAGGAAUGCUGUAGACGAAUACGAUCACGUGUUCUGUGGUGAAACGACUCCUCCUACUCUUGUAUCAGAUGGCCCUCGACUCAUGUUGAUAUUUAGUAGUGGUUCUUCUCAAGGGAAAGGAUUUAAAGCAAGAUAUACCUUUGAAACCGAUUAUAGGGUUCCUGGUACUCCAUCUCCUAAUAGAACCUGCCAUUUUAUAUACAAAAGUGAGAGCAGUAAAACUGGCGAUUUCAACUCUCCAAGAUAUCCUUCCAAUUAUCCUUCCAGUCUUUACUGUCAGUAUGUCUUCAAGGGUCUUCCAGGGGAGCAAGUUCAGUUUGUCUUCAACUACUUCAAGACUAAAAGUUCUUUGAUUUCUUCUCACGGGUACAAUGAAAUGUGUACAGAGGACUGGAUUGAAAUAUAUCAAGUGUAUCCUAGCAGUAGAGAAAACAAAUUUGGUAGAUAUUGCUCUAGAACUGCUCCUGGACCUAUAGUCUCUGAUGUGGGCGUACAUGAUAUGAAAGUCAUGCUCAACACAGAUAACAGUGAUGUUGCUAGCGGUUUUAGCGCCACCUACUUAUUCUUCCCGUCAAAGCCCAAAUUCUCUGAUUGUGGAGGAAAUAUCACAGGAACCUCUAAUGGAAUAAUCAUCAGUCCAGGUUUCCCUUCCCCAUACGAACCACACCAACAGAUAUGUAACUGGUACAUUACCGUCCAACAGUUCCACAAAGUUUUGCUAUCGUUUGAUUACUUCUUGAUCGAAGGAGACCCUUUAGCGUCCAUAAUCAGAAACUUAACAAUGAAGGUCCUUCUCUACAGAGAGAGGUUGUCCAGGAGCUGUGGUGAGAGUGUGGAGUAACCUAAGCCUACCGCCGAUGGAACUUUGUGGUGAAAGAAUGACAAACCAGACCCAUCAAAUACUCUCGUCCUCAAGUGAGUUAAAACUCCAGUUUGUCACGGCGGACAAAGCGGUCGGUUCUGGGGGGUUUAGAGCCAUUUGGACAGAGGUGAAGGAAG